AUAUUGUUUUGAGUGGUAUUUGGAUGCCUGCAAGCAUUUUUCGACGCCUACAAUAACCAUUUCUAACCUUCACUUGUAAUUGAUUUGCUCUUUGUCCAAGAAGCAAUUAAAUACACUCCCUUCGGGGACAUCCACAAGUUCUCUUCUUCCAAGGUGAACUAUGAUAGUUCAGUAGCUAGUCAACUAGAUGGCUCUAUGUGCAGGUGAUCUUCUAAGUGACAUCUAGAACUACAUCAGAUGUGUGUCAUUCAGAAUUAGUUGUUUCUUCACAAAUCUGAAUCAGCAAGAAGAUUAUACUGCAAAUCAUUAUUGCAAGUCGACGACUAAGUGUAGCCUUAAAAAAUGUGUAAGCUGUGGGAAUUUUUUUACAUAUUCUCACACCUGCAAUUUUUUUUUACUGGUCAAACUGUUAAGCGGCUUGUUAUAUUUUCCAGAACAGAAUGCUUUCUCAGCUACAUCAUGGUCUAUAUUCAUGUACCAGGUUUUCAGACAAUUGCUAUUUUCAUGCAGACUGGAGCUCCGAAAAAAACACUACCAACGGUCAAAGCAAUAUCAGAAGUUGUGAAAGAUUUACCCCACAAGGCUUUAUCCCAUUGCUCUAUCUAACUUCACUGAAGAACUGAAUUGAGAAGUUAGACAUGAAUGACUGAAAAAGGACUUGACAAUGAGAAUAAGCAACAAAGAAACUUCUGAUAACACUAUAGUUCAACUGAGUCAUUGACAGCAUGAUCUUAUUCAUGACAAAGAUUUACAUGGUACGUGCAAAGAAAGGCUGUACGAGAGACCUGAUUGGUGAAUACAUCGUAUGAUUAUGUAUUUAUUGCUUUUUGAAGUACAUGAUGCUUAUGUUGCAAAUUUUAUUUUCUACAGCUGGGAAGCAAAUGUAAUGCACCAAAGUUAGUUUUUGUUGUUCUGUGUACUAUGGUUAAUUUCUUGUACUCCAUGUUGGAUUAUCCAAAGACUAGUAAUUUGUUUUUUGGCACAUUUGUGUUGACUCUUCUUGUAUGCUACAACUUGGUUAUGUAUCAGUUUGAACCUUUAAAUGAAAUAUUUGCUUUUAUGGUUGUCACAA
Molecule: long non-coding RNA, 1072 nt
Organism: Asparagus officinalis (garden asparagus)
Lineage: Eukaryota; Viridiplantae; Streptophyta; Magnoliopsida; Asparagales; Asparagaceae
Exons: 4
Source: RefSeq, a predicted model, not a curated record